RNAcentral lists this ribosomal RNA (517 nucleotides) under uncultured bacterium. Its description in RNAcentral is "bacterial SSU rRNA". It matches the Rfam family "Bacterial small subunit ribosomal RNA", at positions 774 to 1282 of the family's 1533-position model. The record is from RNAcentral.
AGCUAAUAGAUACCCCGGUAGUCCACGCCGUAAACGAUGAAUGCUAGCCGUUGGGGGUUACGUCUUCAGUGGCGCAGCUAAACGCUUUAAGUCAUUCCGCCUGGGGAGGUACGGUCGCAAGAUUAAAACUACAAAGGAAUUGACGGGGGCCCGGCACAAGCGGUGGAGCAUGUGGUUUAAUUCGACGCAACGCGCAGAACCUUACCAGCCCUUGACAUGUCCCGUACUGGGUUUCGAGAGAUGAGAUCCUUCAGUUCGGCUGGCGGGAACACAGGUGCUGCAUGGCUGUCGUCAGCUCGUGUCGUGAGACGUUGGGUUAAGUCCCGCAACGAGCGCAACCCCCGUCUUUAGUUGCCAUCAUUCAGUUGGGCACUCUAAAGAGACUGCCGGUGAUAAGCCGCGAGGAAGGUGGGGAUGACGUCAAGUCCUCAUGGCCCUUACGGGCUGGGCUACACACGUGCUACAAUGGCGGUGACAGAGGGAUGCAAAGGGGCGACCCUUGCAAAUCUCAAAAACG